This 2129-nucleotide long non-coding RNA is filed under the name Octopus sinensis (East Asian common octopus). Its description in RNAcentral is "uncharacterized LOC118767732, transcript variant X2". Lineage: Eukaryota; Metazoa; Mollusca; Cephalopoda; Octopoda; Octopodidae. The record is from RNAcentral.
GGCAGGUAAUUCAGGGGCAUGUAAUUCAUGGGCGGGUAAUUGAGGGGAAGGUAAUCCAGGGGCAGGUGAUUUAGAGGAAUGUCAUUCAUUGGCAGGUAAUUCAGAGGAAGGUAAUUCAGGGGUAAUUUAAGGAGAGGUAAUUUAUAGGAAUGUCAUUCAUGGGCAGGUAAUUCAGUAGCUUGUAAUUCAGGGUUAGGUAAUCCAGGGGCAGGUAAUUCAGGGGCAUGUAAUUCAGAUGAAAUGUAAUUCAGGGGCAGGUAAUCUAGGUGGAGGUAUUUCAGGGGUAUGUCAUUCACGGGCAGGUAAUUCAGGGGCAGAUAAUUUAGGGAUAGAUAAUUCAGAGAUAUGUCAUUCAGGGGCAGGUCAUUCAGGUGCAUGUAAUUAAGAGACAUGUAAUUGAGGGGCAGGUAAUUCAGGGUCAUGUAAUUCAGGUGUUUUAAUUCAGGGGCAGGUAAUUCAGAUGCAUGUAAUUUAGUUGCAGGUAAUUCAGGGGCCGGUACUUCAGGGUUAAGUAAUUAAGGGGCAUGUCAUUCAGAGCAAGGUAAUUCAGACCCAGGUAAUUGAGGGGCAUGUAAUUCAGGUGCAGGUAAUUCAGGGGCAUGUAAUUAAGGGGCAUGUAAUUCAGCGGCAUGUAAUUGAGGAGCAGGUAAUUGAGGGGAAUGUAAUUCAGGGGCAUGUAAUUCAAGGGCAUGUAAUUCGUGGGUGGGUAAUUCAGAGCAAUGUAUUUCAGGGGCAUGUAAUUCAGGUGCAGGUAAUUCAGGUGCAUGUAACUCAGGGGCAUGUAAUUGAGGUGCAGAUAAUUGAGGGGCAUGUAAUUUAGGUGUAUGUAAUUCAGGGGUAGGUUAUUCAGGGGCAUGUAAUUUAGGGGCAUGUAAUUCGUGGGUGGGUAAUUCAGAGCAAUAUAUUUCAGGGGAAGGUAAUCCAGGGGCAGGUAAUUCAGGGGUAAUUCAGGGACAGGUAAUUUAGAGGAAUGUCAUUCAUGGGCAGGUAAUUCAGGGGCUGGUAAUUUAGGGAUAGAUAAUUCAGAGGCAUGUCAUUCAGGGGCAGGUCAUUCAGGUACAUGUAAUUAAGAGGCAGGUAAUUCAGGGCCAUGUAAUUCAGGGGCACGUAAUUCAGAUGCAUGUAAUUUAGGGGCAGGUACUUCAGGGGAAGGUAAUUUAGAGGCAUUUAAUUCAUGGGCAGGUAAUUUAGAGGCAUUUAAUUCAUGGGCAGGUAAUUGAGGCCAUGUAUUUUAGGGCCAGGUAGUUCACGGGCAGGUAAUUGAGGGGCAUGUCAUUCAGGGGCAGGUAAUUCAGGUGCAGGUUAUUCAGGGACUCAGGGGUAGAUAAUUCAGGGGCAUGUAAUUCAGGGUCAGGUAAUUCAGGUGUAUGUAACUCAGGGACAGGUAAUUCAGGGGCAUGUAAUUCAUGGGCAGGUUAUUCAGGGGCAUGUAAUUUAGGGGCAAGUAAUUUAGGGGCAGGUAAUUUAGAGGAAUAUUGGCAGAUAAUUCAAGGACAUGUAAUUAAGGGGCAUGUAAUUCAUGGGCAGGUAAUUUAGGGGCAUGUAAUUCAUGGGCGGGUAAUUGAGGCGAAGGUAAUCCAGGGGCAGGUAGUUCAGGUGCAGGUGAUUUAGAGGAAUGUCAUUCAUUGGCAGGUAAUUCAGGGGCAGGUAAUUUAGAGUGUAAUUCAGGGGAAGGUAAUCCAGGGGCAGGUAAUUCAGGGGUAAUUCAGGGAAAGGUAAUUUAGAGGAAUGUCAUUCAUGGGCAGGUGAUUGAGGGGCAGGUAAUUCAGUGGCAGGUAAUUCAGGGGUAAUUCAGGGACAGGUAAUUUAUAGGUAUGUCAUUCAUGGGCAGGUGAUUGAGGGGCAUGUCAUUCAGGGACAGGUAAUUCAGGGGCCCAUAAUUUAGGGGCAGGUAAUUCAAAGGCAUGUAAUUCAGGUGUAUGUAAUUCAGGGGCAGGAAAUUCAGAUGCAGGUUAUUCAGGGACAUGUGACUCAGGGGUAGGUAAUUCAGGGGCAGGUAAUUCAGGUGUAUGUAAUUCAGGGGCAUGUAAUUCAGGUGCAUGUAAUUCAUGGGCAGGUAAUUCAGGGGCAUGUAAUUCAGGGAAGGUAAUCCAGGGGUAUGUAAUUAAGGGGCAGGUCAUUCAGGGGCA